Molecule: long non-coding RNA, 4363 nt
Filed under: Canis lupus familiaris (dog)
Lineage: Eukaryota; Metazoa; Chordata; Mammalia; Carnivora; Canidae
Description: lncRNA (ENSCAFG00845012740.1)
Source: RNAcentral
UUUUUUUUUUUUUAAUUUUUAUUUAUUUAUGAUGAUCACAGAGAGAAAGAGAGGCAGAGACACAGGCAGAGGGAGAAGCAGGCUCCAUGCACCGCGAGCCCGACGUGGGACUUGAUCGGGUCUCCGGGAUCGCGCCCUGGGCCAAAGGCAGGCGCCAAACCUCUGCGCCACCCAGGGAUCCCAGUAUUUCCUUUUUCUUAAGGCUUAAUAACAUUCCACUGAAUGUAUACACCACAUUUUGUUUAUCCAUCCAUCUGUUAAUGGACAUUCUGGCUAUUUCCACAUUUUGACAAUUGUGGAUAAUGCUGCUAUGGAUAUUUGGCUACACAUAGUUGUUUGAGUACUUGUUUUCAAUUCUUUGGAGUAUAUACCUAUGAGGGGAAUUGCUCGAUCAUAUAAUAAUUCUACGUUUACCUUUUAGGGGAACUGCCAGACUGUUUUCCAAAUUGGCUGAACUACUUUAAAUUCCCACCAAUAAUCGAUGAGAAUUUCAGUUCUUCCACACCCUUGCCAACACUUGUCAUUUUCCAUGUUUUCAUUAUAGCCAUUAUAGUGGGUGUGAAGUGGUAUGUCACUGUGAAUUUUGUUUACAUUUCCUUCAUGACUAAUGAUGCGGAACACAUCAUUGUUGGCCAUGAUGGAUGUACUUGUUGGCCAUUUCUUCUCUGGUUAUAUCUUCUUUGCAGAAAUGUCUGUUCAAAUAAUUUGCCUAUUUUUAAAUUGGCUUGUUGGUCUUUUUGUUGUUGAGUUAUAAAAUCUCUUUAUAUAUUUUAGAUACUAUAUACCCCUAUGAGAUAAUGAUUUGUCUUUUUUAUCCUAUUCUGUAAGUUGUCUUCUUUUUCUUGGUAAUGUCCUUUAAUGCACAAAGGUUUUUUAAUUUUAGAAAAGUCUAGUUUACCAGCUUUUUCUUUUUUGCUAUGUCAUACCUAAGAAUCCAUGCCCAAAUCCAAGGUCAUGAAGAUUUAUCUCAAUGUUUUCCUCUAAGAAUUUUAUGGUUUUAGCUGGUACUUUAGAGAAAAUGGACCCUAGAUAAAAAUGAAGGAAAUCUGAAUAAUGUAUGAGUUUCAGUUAGUAGUUAUACAUCAUUCUUAUUUCACUAAUUGCGACAAAUGUACCAUACUAAAAUAAGAUGCUAAUAACAGGGGAAACUGGGUGUGAUGUUUGUAGAAAUUCUCUGUUCUAGCUUCAAAUUUUUUCAAAAACUCUUCUAAGAUAAAAAAGUUGUUUUAAAAAAGUAAAUUGAUAGCAUCAGAACAAUUGCAAUAUCUAGGAAUAAACCUAAUGAAAGAUGUUCAACAAAAUUACACCAAAAAUACUAAACAUUACGGAGAGAGAUAUAUCUUGUUCAUUGAUUGGUAGGCUCAGUAUUGCUAAGAUGUCAGUUCUAUCAAAUUUGUUUAUAGAUUCAAUGGUAUCUGAGUCAAAAUCCUAGCAAAUGGUUUUACAGAAAUUGAUGUGAUGAUUCUAGAAUUUAUAUAGAAACCAAAUGAUCUAUAAUAGCCAAAACAAUUUUGAAAAGGAACAAAGUUGGAAGAGUUACACUAUCUGAUUUCAAAGCUUAUUAUAAAGCUCCAGUAGUCACAAUAAUGUGGUAUUGACAGAAGUAUUGACAUAUAGAGCAGUGGAACAGAAUAAAGUCUAAAAAUCGACACACAUACCUAUGGCCAAUUGAAUUUUGGAAAGUUUCUAAAGUAAUUGAAUGGGAAAGGAAAGUUGUUUUUAAUGAUCUAGAAACAUCUGAACGUUCAUAUUAAAAAAUGAAUAUUGAUGUCUACUCAUGCCAUAAAUCAAAAUUAGUUCAAAAUAGACUUUAGGUUUAAAUGCAAACUAUAAAACUAUAGUAGUUCUAAAAUAAGACACAGGAGAAAAAUUUGCAACUUUAGGGUCAACAAAGAUCUCUUAGACUAAAUAUCCAUGAAGAAAAAGAUAAAUUGGACUUUAUCAAAAUUAAAUCUUUUUGUUCAUCAAAGGACACUGAUAGGAUAACCAAAUGGCAAGCCAUAGAAUGGAGGAUAAAAUUAUCAAUAUCUGACUCUGAUGGAACUUUUGUAUUCAAAAUAUUUAGUUCAGAGUAUAUAAAGUGCUCCUAAAUUCAAUAAUUAAAUGACAAACAAUUCAAUUAAAAAUUGGCUAAAAACUUAAAUAGAUACUUUAGAAGACAUAUAGCUAAUACACACAUUAAAAGAUACUCAUAUAAUAUUAGUCUUCAGGGGACUGCACAUUAAAGCACAGAGAAACACUACUUCACAGCAAUAGGAUAGCUAAAAUUAAAAUGACUAAUAAUACCAAGUAUUGGUGAGCAUAUGGAGUUGCAGAAACUCUCAGACAUUGCAGAGGGUUGUAUAAAAUGGUACAUCUUUUUGGGAAAGCAUUUUGGCACUUUUUAAUGAAAUUAAGCAAAUAUAUAAUCCAGUAAUUUUACUCUCAGGCAUUUUUUUCAAGAGAAAUGGAAAUAUAUGCCCACAAAAAGAAUUGGACACAAAUGUCACAACAGUUUUAUUCAUAGUAGGCAAUAACUGGAUACAACUCAAAUGCCCAUCAAAAGAUGAAUGGCUAAACACUUUGGGUGUAUUUAUAAAAUGUUAUAUAAAAAAUUCAUAUGAAAUAUAGGAAGGUAUAUUUAUAAAAUGAAAAUUUAUAAAACAGAAUACUGAGCAAUAAAGGGGGAUCAACUACUUAUACACACAGCAUAAAUUAAUCUCAAAAGCAACUGAAUGAAAGAAACGAAGCACAAAAGACAACAUACUGUGCAAUUUUUUUUUCAAGUCCUAGAAUAGGCAAAACUAAUGUAUGGCAAUAGAUUUCAGAUCAGUGUUUGCACUGGUGCGGUUCUAAGAGUUAAUUCUUUCUUGAAUACCUUGCCUUCAGCACCUUGGUCACCUUACCCUAGUACUGGCUGUGAUAAUCAUUUACAUUUGUCCUAUAAAAUAAGUCUAUUGAGAAGUGGGUGUGUGUCAGUGAUGUGGUUUGAAGAUCUCUUACUCUCUCCAACUAGUUUAUUGUUCAUAAUCCUGAGUCAUCAAAGUUUUAUAGUAAAUAACAAUGAAAAAGUUUUGAUUGGGAUUUUAUCUUAAGAAUACGACAUUAACUCAGGAAAAAGACAACAUAAUACAAAGUACAUUAUGGGGAAUAUAGUCAAUAAUAUUGUAAUAAUGUGACAGAUGGCAACUACACUUGUUGUGGCGAGCAUAGUGUAGUGUAUAGAAUUGCCUAAUCACUACCUCAUAUACCUCAAACUAUAUGAUGUUUGCCCAAAACAAAGAUAAGGUAUAUCUCUUGUAAACAAAUAAACUACAAUAUAACUUAUGAAACAAUCUUAUUUUAUGUGUAAGACAAUUUAAGCCCUAAUUCCAACUAUGACAUAGUCUUAGCAAUCAAAGCAAGAAUCAAGUGCUGUUACUUGUGUGUGCAUAUGUGUGUAAUUCUUUAAAAAUUGAGCUAUGAUGGACAGCUACAUGCAAAAGAAAAAAACUGCACCACUUUCUUAUAUCAUACACAAAAAAUAAACUCAAAAUGGAUCAAAUACCUAAAUGUAAGACCUAAAACCAUAAAAAUAAAAGAGAACAUAAGCAGUAAACUCUUGGACAUCAGCUUUCGCAAUAUUUUUCUAGACUCAUCUCCUCAGGCAAGGGAAAUAAUAGCAAAAAUAACCAAUGGAACUAUAUAACAUUAAACAGCUUUUGCAGAGCAAGGGAAAUCAUCACCAAAACAAAAAGGCCAACUUACUAAGAAGAUAUUUGUAAUCAAUAUAUUUGAUAAGAGGUUAAUAUAUAAGAUAUAUAAAGAAUUUAUACAAUUCAACAACAAUAAUAGUAGUAAUCUGAUUUAAAAACAGGCAGAUCAUCAGGGAAAUACAAAUCAAAACCACAAUGAGAUAUCACCUCACACCGGUGAGAAUGGUGAAAAUUAACAAGACAGGAAGCAACAAAUAUUGGAGAGGAUGUGGAGAAAGGGGAACCCUCUUGCACUAUUGGUAGGAAUGUGAACUGGUGCAGCCACUCUGGAAAACUGUGUGGAGGUUCCUCAAAGAGUUAAAAAUAGACCUGCCCUAUGACCCAGCAGUUGCACUGCUGGGGAUUUAUCCCAAAGAUACAGAUGCAAUGAAACGCCGGGACACCUGCACCCCGAUGUUUAUAGCAGCAAUGGCCACAAUAGCCAAACUGUGGAAGGAGCCUCGGUGUCCAUCGAAAAGAUGAAUGGAUAAAGAAGCUGUGGUCUAUGUAUACAAUGGAAUAUUACUCAGCCAUUAGAAAUGACAAAUACCCACCAUUUGCUUUGACGUGGAUGGAACUGGAGGGUAUUAUGCUGAGUGAAGUAAGUCAAUCGGAGAAGGACAAUAAUUAUAUGGUCUCAUUCAUUUGGG